Molecule: RNA transcript, 352 nt
Organism: Ixodes scapularis (black-legged tick)
Lineage: Eukaryota; Metazoa; Arthropoda; Arachnida; Ixodida; Ixodidae
Exons: 4
Source: RefSeq, a predicted model, not a curated record
GGUGGUAAACUGUCCAGGUGUCGGGGCAGCGUCUCUGGUUCCUGACCCGAAUGUCACUCCCACUCAAGGGCAGACCAUUAGGGUCCGCGCUCCAUGGAUCAAGAAUGCCAUUAUUGCCGGAACAUAUGAAAUUUCUCCAACGGUGGAUUACGUUGUGCUUGGAGGCAGCCUCGUAUUCGGAGAAACCUCGCUGGUCCCUGAUUCAGAAGUUGCGAAAGAUAUUUGGAAAAACUGCCUCCAACUCGUUCCGAGUUUAAAGGAUGCUGAAAUUCUGACAAACCAUGUGGGACUCCGACCGUACAGGAGCCGUCUUCGGCUAGAAAUCGAGAAUCGUGUGUAUAAUGUCACGGGC